CGCCUUCGGGGUCGGGUGAAAUUCCCAACCGGCGGUGAUGAGUAUCCGAAUACUCUAAGCCCGUGACCCGUUUUAUUUUUAAUAUUGGCUUCUGCUAUUCAUUUGCGAAUAAUAUUUUUAGCAGUGAAUCAGUUUACAUAUGGUCAAUACAUAAAACGGUGGAUUUGGUGAGAAACCAAAGCCGACAGUAUAGUCUGGAUGGGAGAAGGCA
This 211-nucleotide non-coding RNA is filed under the name uncultured Niallia sp. RNAcentral describes it as "FMN riboswitch (RFN element)". It matches the Rfam family "FMN riboswitch aptamer (RFN element)". From Rfam's summary of the family: The RFN element is a highly conserved domain that is found frequently in the 5'-untranslated regions of prokaryotic mRNAs that encode for flavin mononucleotide (FMN) biosynthesis and transport proteins. The record is from RNAcentral. Lineage: Bacteria; Bacillati; Bacillota; Bacilli; Caryophanales; Bacillaceae.